RNAcentral lists this long non-coding RNA (253 nucleotides) under Homo sapiens (human). RNAcentral describes it as "HSALNT0209925". Lineage: Eukaryota; Metazoa; Chordata; Mammalia; Primates; Hominidae. The record is from RNAcentral.
GGAAUCCAGUCACCAUGCUGUGAGGAAAUCAAAGCCAAAGGGAAGUUUCACAUGAAGAGCAAUCAAGUCGUUUAGCCCUCAGCCUGAUGACCACCCUACUGACUGCUGCCCGUGCAAAAGACACAGAAUGGCUAACACAACAUUGAAGAAGAAUACCAAGGGAAGAGGACUGAUGCUAUCCACCUUGAAGACUCACUAUAAAGCUACACUAAUCAGUGGGCUAUUGGAGAAAGGAUAGACCAAAAGAUUAAUG